Molecule: ribosomal RNA, 550 nt
Filed under: Lialis burtonis
Lineage: Eukaryota; Metazoa; Chordata; Lepidosauria; Squamata; Pygopodidae
Description: partial 16S ribosomal RNA
Rfam family: Bacterial large subunit ribosomal RNA
Source: RNAcentral
AAAAACAUAGCCUUUAGCAAAACAAGUAUUGAAGGUCUCGCCUGCCCAGUGAUUUUUUCAACGGCCGCGGUAUCCUAACCGUGCAAAGGUAGCGUAAUCACUUGUCUCCUAAAUAGAGACUUGUAUGAACGGCUAAAUGAGAGUCUAACUGUCUCCUAAGGCCAAUCAAUGAAACUGAUCCCCCAGUACAAAAGCUGGGAUAACAACAUAAGACGAGAAGACCCUGUGGAGCUUUAAAGACCCCCUAUUUUACUUUUCCACAAAACCACGGAAAUAACCACAUAUAAAUCAUAGGACUAUUUUUAGUUGGGGCGACUUUGGAGCACAAAAAAACCUCCAAGAAAGGGCUUUUCCCUAUCAAGGCCUACCAGCCUAAAUAAACUUUUCUUGACCCAGACACCUGAUCAACGAACCAAGUUACCCCAGGGAUAACAGCGCCAUCCUCUUCAAGAGUCCAUAUCGCCAAGAGGGUUUACGACCUCGAUGUUGGAUCAGGACAUCCUAGUGGUGCAGCCGCUACUAAGGGUUCGUUUGUUCAACGAUUAACAGU